GCAACUCGCCUACAUGAAGUCGGAAUUGCUAGUAAUCGCGGAUCAGCAUGCCGCGGUGAAUACGUUCCCGGGCCUUGUACACACCGCCCGUCACACCAUGGGAGUCGGUAACACCCGAAGCCUGUAGUCUAACCGCAAGGAGGACGCAGUCGAAGGUGGGAUUGAUGACUGGGGGUGAAGUCGUAACAAGGUAUC
RNAcentral lists this ribosomal RNA (195 nucleotides) under uncultured bacterium. RNAcentral describes it as "partial 16S ribosomal RNA". It matches the Rfam family "Bacterial small subunit ribosomal RNA", at positions 1307 to 1500 of the family's 1533-position model. The record is from RNAcentral.